This 635-nucleotide ribosomal RNA is filed under the name Janibacter sp. CS_429. Its description in RNAcentral is "bacterial SSU rRNA". It matches the Rfam family "Bacterial small subunit ribosomal RNA", at positions 61 to 707 of the family's 1533-position model. Lineage: Bacteria; Bacillati; Actinomycetota; Actinomycetes; Micrococcales; Intrasporangiaceae. The record is from RNAcentral.
GUCGAACGGUGAACUUGGAGCUUGCUCCAAGGGAUCAGUGGCGAACGGGUGAGUAACACGUGAGUAACCUGCCCCAGACUCUGGAAUAAGCGCUGGAAACGGCGUCUAAUACCGGAUACGAGACAGAGAGGCAUCUCUACUGUCUGGAAAGUUUUUCGGUCUGGGAUGGACUCGCGGCCUAUCAGCUUGUUGGUGAGGUAAUGGCUCACCAAGGCGACGACGGGUAGCCGGCCUGAGAGGGCGACCGGCCACACUGGGACUGAGACACGGCCCAGACUCCUACGGGAGGCAGCAGUGGGGAAUAUUGCACAAUGGGCGAAAGCCUGAUGCAGCGACGCCGCGUGAGGGAUGACUGCCUUCGGGUUGUAAACCUCUUUCAGCAGGGAAGAAGCGAAAGUGACGGUACCUGCAGAAGAAGCACCGGCUAACUACGUGCCAGCAGCCGCGGUAAUACGUAGGGUGCGAGCGUUGUCCGGAAUUAUUGGGCGUAAAGAGCUUGUAGGCGGUUUGUCGCGUCUGCUGUGAAAAUCCGGGGCUCAACCCCGGACUUGCAGUGGGUACGGGCAGACUAGAGUAUGGUAGGGGAGACUGGAAUUCCUGGUGUAGCGGUGAAAUGCGCAGAUAUCAGCAGGAAC